GACGAACGCUGGCGGCGUGCCUAAUACAUGCAAGUUGAGCGCUGAAGGUUGGUACUUGUACCAACUGGAUGAGCAGCGCACGGGUGAGUAACGCGUGGGGAAUCUGCCUUUGAGCGGGGGACAACAUUUGGAAACGAAUGCUAAUACCGCAUAAAAACUUUAAACACAAGUUUUAAGUUUGAAAGAUGCAAUUGCAUCACUCAAAGAUGAUCCCGCGUUGUAUUAGCUAGUUGGUGAGGUAAAGGCUCACCAAGGCGAUGAUACAUAGCCGACCUGAGAGGGUGAUCGGCCACAUUGGGACUGAGACACGGCCCAAACUCCUACGGGAGGCAGCAGUAGGGAAUCGUCGGCAAUGGACGAAAGUCUGACCGAGCAACGCCGCGUGAGUGAAGAAGGUUUUCGGAUCGUAAAACUCUGUUGGUAGAGAAGAACGUUGGUGAGAGUGGAAAGCUCAUCAAGUGACGGUAACUACCCAGAAAGGGACGGCUAACUACGUG
Molecule: ribosomal RNA, 497 nt
Filed under: uncultured bacterium
Lineage: Bacteria
Description: partial 16S ribosomal RNA
Rfam family: Bacterial small subunit ribosomal RNA
Source: RNAcentral